Molecule: ribosomal RNA, 390 nt
Filed under: uncultured bacterium
Lineage: Bacteria
Description: bacterial SSU rRNA
Rfam family: Bacterial small subunit ribosomal RNA
Source: RNAcentral
AUUGAACGCUGGCGGCAUGCCUUACACAUGCAAGUCGAACGGCAGCACGGGAGCAAUCCUGGUGGCGAGUGGCGAACGGGUGAGUAAUACAUCGGAACGUGCCCAGUAGUGGGGGAUAGCCCGGCGAAAGCCGGAUUAAUACCGCAUACGACCUACGGGUGAAAGCGGGGGAUCGCAAGACCUCGCGCUAUUGGAGCGGCCGAUGUCAGAUUAGGUAGUUGGUGAGGUAAAGGCUCACCAAGCCUUCGAUCUGUAGCUGGUCUGAGAGGACGACCAGCCACACUGGGACUGAGACACGGCCCAGACUCCUACGGGAGGCAGCAGUGGGGAAUUUUGGACAAUGGGCGCAAGCCUGAUCCAGCCAUGCCGCGUGCGGGAAGAAGGCCUUCG